GACGAACGCUGGCGGCGUGCUUAACACAUGCAAGUCGAACGGAAAGGCCCUGCUUUUGUGGGGUGCUCGAGUGGCGAACGGGUGAGUAACACGUGAGUAACCUGCCCUUGACUUUGGGAUAACUUCAGGAAACUGGGGCUAAUACCGGAUAGGAGCUCCUGCUGCAUGGUGGGGGUUGGAAAGUUUCGGCGGUUGGGGAUGGACUCGCGGCUUAUCAGCUUGUUGGUGGGGUAGUGGCUUACCAAGGCUUAGACGGGUAGCCGGCCUGAGAGGGUGACCGGCCACAUUGGGACUGAGAUACGGCCCAGACUCCUACGGGAGGCAGCAGUGGGGAAUAUUGCACAAUGGGCGGAAGCCUGAUGCAGCAACGCCGCGUGCGGGAUGACGGCCUUCGGGUUGUAAACCGCUUUCGCCUGUGACGAAGCAUGAGUGACGGUAAUGGGUAAAGAAGCACCGGCUAACUACGCG
RNAcentral lists this ribosomal RNA (468 nucleotides) under uncultured bacterium. RNAcentral describes it as "partial 16S ribosomal RNA". It matches the Rfam family "Bacterial small subunit ribosomal RNA", at positions 28 to 507 of the family's 1533-position model. The record is from RNAcentral.